RNAcentral lists this ribosomal RNA (333 nucleotides) under Triticum aestivum (bread wheat). Its description in RNAcentral is "partial small subunit ribosomal RNA". Lineage: Eukaryota; Viridiplantae; Streptophyta; Magnoliopsida; Poales; Poaceae. The record is from RNAcentral.
AUGGCCAUGGGAGCGUGGUCGGCGAUGAAGAAGAGCUUAUUAAUGAAGCUGAGUGUGUGUCUGCUGAUCAUCGCCAUGGCUAACUGCGCUCGGGACAUCCCUGACUCGGUUGCUGAGCACCCUCCCGGAUACAUCAUCUGCGGCGAGAUCAGCGAGACGUGGCACGGGGGGCUGUGCGCCAAGCGCGGCACCUGCAACAAGCCGUGCCGGGCGGAAGGGUAUGACGCGGGCUACUGCGCCCCCUUCCCCUUCAUGACCUACUGCUGCUGCACACAGAACUGUGGCAUGUCGUCGUCUCUGCAACCACACAGGAGCAGCAUUCAGUGCAACUAA